UAAAAAGGCUUCUGUCCUGAGUGGCACAUGUAGGGCAGUUCAGCUAUUCUGCAUGUAGAAUUUGGAGAUUUUGGAAGCAUGAUUUUUUUGCUAUUCAGGCAGCUGGAUUAUUGAUUGUUUGGUCCAACA
Small nuclear RNA from Sorex araneus (European shrew), 129 nucleotides. RefSeq annotates it as U11 spliceosomal RNA. The transcript has a single exon. The record is from RefSeq and is a predicted model, not a curated record. Lineage: Eukaryota; Metazoa; Chordata; Mammalia; Eulipotyphla; Soricidae.